This 300-nucleotide ribosomal RNA is filed under the name uncultured soil bacterium. RNAcentral's name for it is "bacterial SSU rRNA". It matches the Rfam family "Bacterial small subunit ribosomal RNA", at positions 26 to 326 of the family's 1533-position model. The record is from RNAcentral.
AGAUUGAACGCUGGCGGCAGGCCUAACACAUGCAAGUCGAGCGGCAGCACGGGUACUUGUACCUGGUGGCGAGCGGCGGACGGGUGAGUAAUGCCUAGGAAUCUGCCUGAUAGUGGGGGAUAACGUUCGGAAACGGACGCUAAUACCGCAUACGUCCUACGGGAGAAAGUGGGGGAUCUUCGGACCUCACGCUAUCAGAUGAGCCUAGGUCGGAUUAGCUAGUUGGUAGGGUAAAGGCCUACCAAGGCUACGAUCCGUAACUGGUCUGAGAGGAUGAUCGGUCACACUGGAACUGAGACA